CUUUGGAGUGGCCCGAUUCGCAGUCCUGCGUUCACUCAGUCCAGAUAUAAAUACGGCGGAUCAGGACACCGUAUAGUGUAUCAUUAGGUCAUUAAUGCUAAUUUAUCAUCGUGCCCUGUGUGGUGAUGGACAGCGCAUCUGUUUGAGGCACGAGGCCAACGUAGGAAGCGUCCACAUUGCCUCGAAGUUCUCCAGCGCUUGGGUCACUCAGGAAAAGUUUCUCCUGAGCUACACGUUGAAAGAAGUGCACAGGAACCAUUUUACAGGAGAUCCUAACAGGAGCAACAACCUAUAGCUUGGAGGUGGUGGAGGUUGAGGUGGAGGUGGUGGAGGAGGGGGGAGCCAGGAUGUUGAACCCCAGGAAUCAGAGACUUGCUGAAAGUUAAACGUUCUGGCCUGCUUUAUUUUUUUGCGUCUGUGGUGCCACCUGGAACCCUCGACCUCGCCGAUUUUAGCGUCGUAUUUACGAAUCGUCGUGUCCGUGCGGGAGUCGAGCGACCCGCUGAGAACGAGGAACGAAUAACCGAGAGGAAGAGGAAGUGAGGACGGAAACACAGCGAGCUUUCCCGGCUGCUUCUUUCGGAUUUAUCCGCCUUCCCCGGCGCUCCCCUCCUGCAGCUCCGCCAUCCCGGGAACGUUUCAUCUUCUUUGGGGAAUUUCACGCCGGUUAGUCCUUGUCAUCAGUGAACUUCGCAACGUAAUAAAAAUACCGCCGCCAUAUUUUUUUAUUCCACUACUCUUUUUUUUUUUUGAGGACAGAUCCGAGGCCGGAUUCCCUCCCGUUACCGUUUCCUGUAGUCGAGUCCGUGUGUUAUCCGGUACGCGUGGUAAAAAAAAGCCGAGGCUCCUGUGGGAGAUCGGAGACUUUUUUCGCCGUUGUGUGUCUGUCAUAUAUAUGUUUUCCUUUUUUUCCGGACGUGUUCGAGUCAUGUUUGAGUUCGAGUCAUGUUUGCCUCAACACGGAUGUGUGUUUUUAUUUUUACGCCUGGCCAUGAGUGUAUCCUUUGUGUGUGUACCUUUGACUUAUUUUUUUUGUUUCGUGUGUGUGAGCAUGGGAUUUUGAGUUUUAUAGACAUUCCUUUUGGUUUGCGUUUACUUGCGUUAUCAAAAAAAAAAAA
Molecule: long non-coding RNA, 1118 nt
Organism: Ictalurus punctatus (channel catfish)
Lineage: Eukaryota; Metazoa; Chordata; Actinopteri; Siluriformes; Ictaluridae
Source: Ensembl